This 482-nucleotide ribosomal RNA is filed under the name uncultured bacterium. RNAcentral describes it as "partial 16S ribosomal RNA". It matches the Rfam family "Bacterial small subunit ribosomal RNA", at positions 30 to 507 of the family's 1533-position model. The record is from RNAcentral.
AUUGAACGCUGGCGGCAUGCUCUACACAUGCAAGUCGAACGGUAACAGGCCGCAAGGUGCUGACGAGUGGCGAACGGGUGAGUAAUGCAUCGGAACGUGCCCAGUCGUGGGGGAUAACUACUCGAAAGAGUAGCUAAUACCGCAUACGAUCUAUGGAUGAAAGCGGGGGACCGUAAGGCCUCGCGCGAUUGGAGCGGCCGAUGUCAGAUUAGGUAGUUGGUGGGGUAAAGGCUCACCAAGCCAACGAUCUGUAGCUGGUCUGAGAGGACGACCAGCCACACUGGGGCUGAGACACGGCCCAGACUCCUACGGGAGGCAGCAGUGGGGAAUUUUGGACAAUGGGCGCAAGCCUGAUCCAGCAAUGCCGCGUGCAGGAAGAAGGCCUUCGGGUUGUAAACUGCUUUUGUACGGAACGAAACGGCUCUGGUUAAUACCCGGGGCUAAUGACGGUACCGUAAGAAUAAGCACCGGCUAACUACGUG